Molecule: ribosomal RNA, 229 nt
Filed under: uncultured bacterium
Lineage: Bacteria
Description: partial 16S ribosomal RNA
Rfam family: Bacterial small subunit ribosomal RNA
Source: RNAcentral
UACGUAGGCGGAAAAUUAAGUCAGUAGUGAAAUCCCGCAGCUUAACUGUAGAACUGUUAUUGAUACUGGUUUUCUUGAAUGUAGUUGAGGUAGGCGGAAUGUGUAAUGUAGCGGUGAAAUGCUUAGAUAUUACACAGAACACCGAUUGCGAAGGCAGCUUACUAAGCUAUGAUUGACGCUGAGGUACGAAAGCGUGGGGAGCGAACAGGAUUAGAUACCCUGGUAGUCC